This 443-nucleotide non-coding RNA is filed under the name Pan troglodytes (chimpanzee). The record is from RNAcentral. Lineage: Eukaryota; Metazoa; Chordata; Mammalia; Primates; Hominidae.
GCUCUAGUCAUUCUGUGAGAGGAACUCCAGGAGACCAGAUCCAACUCGCAAUCAGCUAUAGUGAAGUUAUGAUAUGAGAAGCACCAACUUGGCACAAGACUUGGGAAAGGCAAUGAGGCAGCAGGCAAGCUUUAAGGGAUGACACUUACCUUGAGGGAGCAAGGACAAGUUGUGACCUUCCCAGUCCUCUCUCCAUUUGCAGAUCAGCAAGCUUCUAUCAGCAAGGAGGGGUGGACAAUGAAACUGUUUGGGUUCAGCUUGAUUUGUUUUUUGAGACAGGUAUGGCAAGGGGCUGCCAACAAGAAUUCCAGUUGCCCAUCAUGUCACAGGCUGAGGCCCACACUCCAGAGACACUGUGGACUGACUGGCACCUAUGAGCUGACCUAAUAACAGUUACACCAUUACAGCUCCGAUUCUACAGAACAAUACAUAUCCAGUUCUUA